Molecule: ribosomal RNA, 670 nt
Filed under: Sphingobacterium sp.
Lineage: Bacteria; Pseudomonadati; Bacteroidota; Sphingobacteriia; Sphingobacteriales; Sphingobacteriaceae
Description: bacterial SSU rRNA
Rfam family: Bacterial small subunit ribosomal RNA
Source: RNAcentral
GGACGGGAUCCGUCGGAGAGCUUGCUCGAAUAUGGUAGAGAGUGGCGCACGGGUGCGUAACGCGUGAGCAACCUACCUCUAUCGGGGGGAUAGCCUCUCGAAAGAGAGAUUAACACCGCAUAACAUCAACAGUUCGCAUGUUCGGUUGAUUAAAUAUUUAUAGGAUAGAGAUGGGCUCGCGUGACAUUAGCUAGUUGGUAGGGUAACGGCUUACCAAGGCGACGAUGUCUAGGGGCUCUGAGAGGAGAAUCCCCCACACUGGUACUGACACACGGACCACACUCCUACGGGAGGCAGCAGUAAGGAAUAUUGGUCAAUGGGCGGAAGCCUGAACCAGCCAUGCCGCGUGCAAGAUGACUGCCCUAUGGGUUGUAAACUGCUUUUGUCCAGGAAUAAACCUAUAUACGAGUAUAUAGCUGAAUGUACUGGAAGAAUAAGGAUCGGCUAACUCCGUGCCAGCAGCCGCGGUAAUACGGAAGAUCCGAGCGUUAUCCGGAUUUAUUGGGUUUAAAGGGUGCGUACGCGGCCUAUUAAGUCAGGGGUGAAAUACGGUGGCUCAACCAUCGCAGUGCCUUUGAUACUGAUGGGCUUGAAUCCAUUUGAAGUGGGCGGAAUAAGACAAGUAGCGGUGAAAUGCAUAGAUAUGUCUUAGAACUCCGAUUGCGAACGC